GCACAAUGGUUCCUCCAACGUGGAGCACUCUGACGGAAGAUGGAUGAUUCAAGAACAUGAAAAAAAUUUAACAUACUGGUGUGUCUUGAACAAAAAGAACCAUUCUCCCUCCUUCCAGAAGAAAAAUGGAACAUCAGAGCUUGUUUGAAGAUAAUUAUGAAUUAUGUGGAUACCACGCCAGAUUUCAAGUACAUUUCUGCUUCAUAGAUUUCGUUAGAAUACUAAUUACCACUAAAUACUGUAUAAACAGACACACAUGCAGUUCUGAGCUGAAUUUACAGUAGCACUCACAAUUAUGAAAAAUGUUAUCUUUGACAGAAAAAAUUUCCUACAUUUCCAAGAACUGGGAAAAAGAAAGGCUAAACCACCACUGGAAGAGAUUUAAUGGAUUUUCUUUUUGGAAUACAUCUGAUAACAGUGAUACAAAACUGGCAACACCUAACCGUCUGCAAAGGUCUUCAAAUGGAACCAACAAAUUAAUAGCUAUAGUUUCAUUUGGUUUGCAUGUAUAAGAAAACUUGGAAUUGAA
This is a long non-coding RNA of Neogale vison (American mink), 529 nucleotides long. RefSeq lists it as uncharacterized. The transcript is spliced from 3 exons. The record is from RefSeq and is a predicted model, not a curated record. Lineage: Eukaryota; Metazoa; Chordata; Mammalia; Carnivora; Mustelidae.